This 97-nucleotide signal recognition particle RNA is filed under the name Deltaproteobacteria bacterium. Its description in RNAcentral is "signal recognition particle sRNA small type". It matches the Rfam family "Bacterial small signal recognition particle RNA". Rfam says of the family: The signal recognition particle (SRP) is a universally conserved ribonucleoprotein involved in the co-translational targeting of proteins to membranes. Archaeal SRP consists of a 7S RNA and homologues of the eukaryotic SRP19 and SRP54 proteins. The record is from RNAcentral. Lineage: Bacteria; Pseudomonadati; Myxococcota; Myxococcia.
CCCCGGGCCUUGCGUAACAGAUGACUGUUAACCCCGUCAGAUCUGGAAGGAAGCAGCGGUCCGCAUGUUCAGCUGUGUCGCAACCAGUCUGGAGGUC